GACUCGACCCCAGGUGCUUUAUUUACCCCAGGGGCCCCCCGGACCACCAGGACCCCGGGCCCCCCCGGACCGCCACCGUCCACGGACGGGUUCGCCUUUGACGGCGCCACCCAGGUGCAUCCAGCCUUGAAAGGAGAGAAAGGAGACCGAGGAGUUCCCGGCGUUCCUGGGACACCAGGUGAUCAUUACGAAGGCAUUUACGGGAUCAAGAGCAAGCAGAAAGGAGAAAGGGGGGAGCCGGGAUCCAAGGGCGAGAAGGGAGAGCCAGGUGGAGGAUUCUACGGCCCCCAAUACGCUGGGGUCCAAGGCGUGCCGGGACCUCCGGGGCCACCAGGGCCGAGGGGAGAAUCCAUCAGGGGACCUCCUGGUCCACAGGGGCCACCAGGGACCCCUGGGGUUGGUUACGCUGGACAACCAGGAUAUCCUGGGCCUCCAGGGCCCCCUGGGCCUCCAGGCCCCGCAUCGUUGCCUGGAGCUUACAGGCCCACACACAGCAUCAGUCUCCCCGGGCCCCCGGGGCCACCCGGCCCCCCCGGAGCUCCGGGGCCCAUUUCUGGGGUGAGUUUUGACCGACUACAGCGGUGCUGCGCGUGCAGCGUGCAAGCGCGUUCCCCAGACUCACAUCCAUCCGCUGGUCCUCACAGGUGCUGG
Molecule: long non-coding RNA, 651 nt
Filed under: Scleropages formosus (Asian bonytongue)
Lineage: Eukaryota; Metazoa; Chordata; Actinopteri; Osteoglossiformes; Osteoglossidae
Description: lncRNA (ENSSFOG00015025369.1)
Source: RNAcentral